CAAAGAAUUGAUGGAAAAGCUUAAAGAUCAAACGUCCAUCUCAAAAUACUGAGUUUACAAAAGCAGAAUACAAAAAAAAAUGAAGUGAAAAUGC
Molecule: small RNA, 94 nt
Filed under: Mus pahari (shrew mouse)
Lineage: Eukaryota; Metazoa; Chordata; Mammalia; Rodentia; Muridae
Description: sRNA (MGP_PahariEiJ_G0008272.1)
Rfam family: Metastasis associated lung adenocarcinoma transcript 1
About the family: MALAT 1 (metastasis associated lung adenocarcinoma transcript 1) is also known as NEAT2 (noncoding nuclear-enriched abundant transcript 2). It is a large, infrequently spliced RNA, which is highly conserved amongst mammals.
Source: RNAcentral